UACGUAGGGGGCAAGCGUUGUCCGGAUUUAUUGGGCGUAAAGAGCGUGUAGGCGGUUUGGUAGGUCCGCUGUGAAAACUCGAGGCUCAACCUCGAGACGCCGGUGGAAACCAUCAGACUAGAGUCCGGAAGAGGAGAGUGGAAUUCCUGGUGUAGCGGUGAAAUGCGCAGAUAUCAGGAGGAACACCGGUGGCGAAGGCGGUGCUCUGGGCCAGUACUGACGCUGAGGAGCGAAAGCGUGGGGAGCAAACAGG
This 253-nucleotide ribosomal RNA is filed under the name uncultured bacterium. RNAcentral's name for it is "partial 16S ribosomal RNA". It matches the Rfam family "Bacterial small subunit ribosomal RNA", at positions 524 to 776 of the family's 1533-position model. The record is from RNAcentral.